AGUGAACGCUGGCGGUAGGCCUAACACAUGCAAGUCGAACGGCAGCACAGUAAGAGCUUGCUCUUACGGGUGGCGAGUGGCGGACGGGUGAGGAAUAUAUCGGAAUCUACUUUUUCGUGGGGGAUAACGUAGGGAAACUUACGCUAAUACCGCAUACGACCUACGGGUGAAAGCAGGGGAUCUUCGGACCUUGCGCGAUUGAAUGAGCCGAUGUCGGAUUAGCUAGUUGGCGGGGUAAAGGCCCACCAAGGCGACGAUCCGUAGCUGGUCUGAGAGGAUGAUCAGCCACACUGGAACUGAGACACGGUCCAGACUCCUACGGGAGGCAGCAGUGGGGAAUAUUGGACAAUGGGCGCAAGCCUGAUCCAGCCAUACCGCGUGGGUGAAGAAGGCCUUCGGGUUGUAAAGCCCUUUUGUUGGGAAAGAAAAGCAGCAGGUUAAUACCCCGCUGUUCUGACGGUACCCAAAGAAUGAGCACCGGCUAACUUCGUG
This 492-nucleotide ribosomal RNA is filed under the name uncultured bacterium. Its description in RNAcentral is "partial 16S ribosomal RNA". It matches the Rfam family "Bacterial small subunit ribosomal RNA", at positions 29 to 507 of the family's 1533-position model. The record is from RNAcentral.